This is a non-coding RNA of 99 nucleotides. It matches the Rfam family "Bacterial small signal recognition particle RNA". From Rfam's summary of the family: The signal recognition particle (SRP) is a universally conserved ribonucleoprotein involved in the co-translational targeting of proteins to membranes. Archaeal SRP consists of a 7S RNA and homologues of the eukaryotic SRP19 and SRP54 proteins. The record is from Rfam.
AGCCGGGCCCUGCGCAACGGCAGGCCGUGAACCCCGCCAGGUCCGGAAGGAAGCAACGGCAGCGGCUGUCGCUGUGUGCCGCAGGUAAACCCGGCUGUC